This is a small nuclear RNA of Tupaia belangeri (northern tree shrew), 65 nucleotides long. Its record names the gene U7. It matches the Rfam family "U7 small nuclear RNA". Rfam says of the family: Animal histone pre-mRNAs are spliced by a different mechanism than nuclear pre-mRNAs and self-splicing introns. This processing involves the U7 snRNP, which contains only one RNA species: U7. The record is from Ensembl. NCBI's taxonomy places the organism in Eukaryota, Metazoa, Chordata, Mammalia, Scandentia, Tupaiidae.
AAGUGUUAAAACCCCUUUAGAAUUUGGCUAGCAGGUUUUCCAAUUUUUACUAGAAAUCUACCCCC